CCCUUAGAUGUUCUGGGCCGCACGCGCGCUACACUGACGGAGGCAGCGAGCAUGUCCUUCGCCGAGAGGUGUGGGGAAUCUUGUGAGUCUCCGUCGUGCUGGGGAUAGAUGGUUGCAAUUGUCGAUCUUGAACGAGGAAUUCCUAGUAAGCGCGAGUCAUCAGCUCGCGCUGAUUACGUCCCUGCCCUUUGUACACACCGCCCGUCGCUCCUACCGAUUGAAUGAUCCGAUGAAUAUCAUGGAUUGAGGAUGCAAGUAGGUUCGCCUAUCUUCAUCUUCGAGAAGUGAAGUAAAUCUUAUCAUUUAGAGGAAGGAGAAGUCGUAACA
RNAcentral lists this ribosomal RNA (327 nucleotides) under uncultured eukaryote. Its description in RNAcentral is "partial 18S ribosomal RNA". It matches the Rfam family "Eukaryotic small subunit ribosomal RNA", at positions 1470 to 1796 of the family's 1831-position model. The record is from RNAcentral.